UUGUGUGAAUAAAGUAAAUAUCAAAUGCAAAAGUAUGCAAUAGGAGGAAGCAGGCCACAGCUUCAGGCUGCAGCUGACUAGGAAAUUUCAGGCUUUCUCUGCUUUUGUUCUUUUCGACUUCUGUUCAAUCUUCAUUUUCUAAGGUGGAGAUGGAAAAGGAUUGGUUUUGUUACCUCUCUCUGGCCUAAUCCUGGAGUUACCAAUUUUUGUGG
This 212-nucleotide unclassified non-coding RNA is filed under the name Hevea brasiliensis (rubber tree). Lineage: Eukaryota; Viridiplantae; Streptophyta; Magnoliopsida; Malpighiales; Euphorbiaceae. The record is from RNAcentral.